GUGCAAUCUAACUCAAAAUUUAAUCUUUAUUGGGAUCAAACUUAACGUAUUGGAAUCUAAUCUCAUUCAAGUCGAACCUAAUCACAAAUUAGCCCAAGCAUUGCUUAGUUCAAGUCAAGUAAUAUAUGAUCUCAUUGAGAUCAACAUAUCAUUUUAUCAAGCACAACUGGAAUAAUGAUAAUGACUGAUGAACUAAGAGAUCAGUAUUAUAGAACCAAACGUGCUCUUGAGAUAAAUGCAGUUAAAUAUGGCUAGGCUAGUAUGAUCCUUGUGGGGAAUCAUGUUGACAUAAUUUAAUUAUGUUAUGUACGACAAUAAGAGAACCUGAAAUUGGCCAACAAAAUCCUAAGAUUAACGUUGAUCAUCUCACAUCACAAUAUAAAAUAUGCCUUAAGCACCUAUCUAUAUAUACUUUACACUCUAUAGCAAUUUCACUAUUUUAUUGUCAAAACUUUUGCAACAUUUUAUAACUUGAAUGUUGAAAUGGCUACUGAUCCCAGUUUGUCAUUAGUUUCAAGUAUUCACAAUCCAAUUACUUAAAUCUAGUGACUCAAAUACUCACAAUAACAUUAAGUGUAUAGAUUAUUGAUUCGUUAGAUUAACUCAAUAAAUCGAUAUGAGUUUAAUAACGCUGUAAAAUAUAAAUUUCAGUUGUACUUCUUAAUAAAAGGUGAUAUAUUUAUGUGAGCAUAACACAUGUAUCCAGUUGGCAAUCUCUCAAAACUUUAUCUUUAACCACCUUAAUUAGAUGGCUAGAAAAUAAAAGUGACAGAAAAAUAAAAGUAUAAAAUAAAAGAAAUUUUCAUCUUUUACCUAUUUGAAGUUGGAUAAAAUAAGUUAAGAAAAAUAUUAUGUAAGCCCACGAGUAACUUUCCCUCCAAAUGGGAGAGAAAGUGAGUAAUAAACAU
This 908-nucleotide unclassified non-coding RNA is filed under the name Hevea brasiliensis (rubber tree). Lineage: Eukaryota; Viridiplantae; Streptophyta; Magnoliopsida; Malpighiales; Euphorbiaceae. The record is from RNAcentral.